RNAcentral lists this ribosomal RNA (301 nucleotides) under uncultured bacterium. RNAcentral describes it as "partial 16S ribosomal RNA". It matches the Rfam family "Bacterial small subunit ribosomal RNA", at positions 509 to 807 of the family's 1533-position model. The record is from RNAcentral.
CAGCCGCCGCGGUAAUACGGAGGGGGCUAGCGUUAUUCGGAGUUACUGGGCGUAAAGCGCACGUAGGCGGAUCAGAAAGUCAGAGGUGAAAUCCCAGGGCUCAACCUUGGAACUGCCUUUGAAACUCCUGAUCUUGAGGUCGAGAGAGGUGAGUGGAAUUCCGAGUGUAGAGGUGAAAUUCGUAGAUAUUCGGAGGAACACCAGUGGCGAAGGCGGCUCACUGGCUCGAUACUGACGCUGAGGUGCGAAAGCGUGGGGAGCAAACAGGAUUAGAUACCCCGGUAGUCCCUGUCUCUUAUAC